GCAGCCGCGGUAAUACGGAAGGUCCGGGCGUUAUCCGGAUUUAUUGGGUUUAAAGGGAGCGUAGGCCGGAGGGUAAGCGUGUUGUGAAAUGCAGUUGCUCAACAUCUGCACUGCAGCGCGAACUGUUCUCCUUGAGUGCGCAGGAAGUAGGCGGAAUUCGUCGUGUAGCGGUGAAAUGCUUAGAUAUGACGAAGAACUCCGAUUGGGAAGCCAGCUUACUGUAGCGCCACUGACGCUGAUGCUCGAAAGUGCGGGUAUCGAACAGGAUUAGAUACCCC
RNAcentral lists this ribosomal RNA (278 nucleotides) under uncultured bacterium. RNAcentral describes it as "partial 16S ribosomal RNA". It matches the Rfam family "Bacterial small subunit ribosomal RNA", at positions 511 to 788 of the family's 1533-position model. The record is from RNAcentral.